GGGGAAGUAGUUCAGUGGUAGAAUGUUUGCUUUGCACGCAAGAGGUCCGGGGUUCGGUUCCCCGCUUCUCCA
Molecule: transfer RNA, 72 nt
Organism: Vavraia culicis subsp. floridensis
Lineage: Eukaryota; Fungi; Microsporidia; Pleistophoridae
Rfam family: tRNA
About the family: Transfer RNA (tRNA) molecules are approximately 80 nucleotides in length. Their secondary structure includes four short double-helical elements and three loops (D, anti-codon, and T loops).
Source: Rfam